This 620-nucleotide ribosomal RNA is filed under the name Desmognathus wrighti (pygmy salamander). RNAcentral's name for it is "partial 12S ribosomal RNA". The record is from RNAcentral. Lineage: Eukaryota; Metazoa; Chordata; Amphibia; Caudata; Plethodontidae.
GGCCCAAAGGGUAGUUUUAGAUGUAAUAAAAUAGGAUUAAAAUUUUACUUAACAGUUAUAAGUGAACGUAAAGCAUAAACCCAAAAACGAAAGUUAUACUAUAUUUUCUUGAAUCUACUACAGUUAAGAANCAAACUGGGAUUAGAUACCCCACUAUGCUUAANUUUAAAAUUGGACCUCUCGCCAGAGCACUACGAGCCACAGCUUAAAACUCAAAGGACCUGGCGGCGCCUACAUCCAUCUAGAGGAGCCUGUUCUAUAAUCGACACCCCCCGAUAAACCUCACCACCUCUUGCUAAUACAGUCUAUAUACCACCGCCUCAGUAUACCUUUUAAAAGAAUAAAAGUGAACGAAAUAAUUUUAAAUAAAAAAGUCAGGUCAAGGUGUAGCAAAUGAGCUGGAAAGAAAUGGGCUACAUUUUUUAUUUUAAAAAACACGGAAUAUUUUAUGAAAUAAAAUAUAAAGGAGGAUUUAGAAGUAAAAAGAAAAAAGAGUGUUCUUUUUAAAUAGGCAAUAGAGCACGCACACACCGCCCGUCACCCUCUCUAAAAUAAUUAAGCUUAAUUAUAAAAGAGGAAAGUCGUAACAUGGUAAGUCUACCGGAAGGUGGCCUUGGAUA